RNAcentral lists this ribosomal RNA (260 nucleotides) under uncultured Bacillota bacterium. RNAcentral describes it as "uncultured Firmicutes bacterium partial 16S ribosomal RNA". It matches the Rfam family "Bacterial small subunit ribosomal RNA", at positions 338 to 590 of the family's 1533-position model. Lineage: Bacteria; Bacillati; Bacillota. The record is from RNAcentral.
CCUACGGGGGGCUGCAGUAGGGAAUCUUCCACAAUGGGCGAAAGCCUGAUGGAGCAACGCCGCGUGUGUGAUGAAGGCUUUAGGGUCGUAAAGCACUGUUGUAUGGGAAGAAAUGCUAGAAUAGGGAAUGAUUCUAGUUCGACGGUACCAUACCAGAAAGGGACGGCUAAAUACGUGCCAGCAGCCGCGGUAAUACGUAUGUCCCGAGCGUUAUCCGGAUUUAUUGGGCGUAAAGCGAGCGCAGACGGUUGAUUAAGUCU